UAAUGGAUCUAACUUUCAAGGAAGUGCAUUUGGGCUUCAGUUGCAAUCCGAAGUAGCCAAAUAAAGGCCAAAUUGGAUUAAGGGGACGAAGGACCCAUGAAGAACUUUCUCCCCCGGGAAGGGCUACCGACUCUGACAAAUUUGCGCCUCAGCAGAGAUUUCUUCCCCAGAAAAAAUAGCCUAAGAUUUCAACCUAUUCGCGCAGCUUCUAAAGGAUUCGCAUCCCUUCGCUUACUCCGACAUUGACACGCUCGGAUUAAUGGAGAGGACGAAUUUCAAGGCGCUCGAUCUGGAAUCUUAAAGCGAUAGAUCCGGGCGUUUUUACAUCGAAGCCGACGGUCUGCUAGUUCCCGGGUUUUCUGAUUCUAAAUUAAAAGCCUUCUCUUAGGAUCGAGUCAAUUCUUGACGAUUGCAGUUGUUCCUUCACAGAUUAAAUUACUCCUAGGAUUCUGAAUGUUUGAAAAGUUUCUUGAAGAAGAAAACAAGUGCAGAGAAGAGAAAAGAGCCAAGGGGAAAGUGCCUUCUAGAGAGAGGAAACAGAUGAGCAGAUGCAACAAAAGAUCCCAGAAGUUGAAGCUAGAGGACUCAAAUUGGAAAGGAAAGUUCCAAGCCAGGUUUAUCUCCUUAUCAGUUAAUAAAGCACUUUGAUAUCUUUUCCUGAGAUCUGGGCACAGAAGAAGAUAGAAGGCUCUUUUAAGAAAAUUUGGGGAGGGAGGAGGAGGGAGAGGCAAAUGUUGAAUUUUGAUUGAAUAAGAUUGGCUCACCUUCAUUGAAACUACUGCCUUUGAGCCCAGCUUGACUCCUGGUGACUUAAUGGACAAUCCACACAGUUUUGUCUUUCAGAAGUGGAUUGCCACUGCCGUCUUUCAAGGCUGCCCCCCCCCACCCCCUUACAGGGCUAGCCUAUGACUCUGGUAUUCUCCAGAAAUCUCCCAUCCAAGUACCAACCAGGCUUGACCCUGCUUAGCUUCUGAAUCUAGACAAGGUCAGUCAGAGAUGAAGACAAAAACUCUACUUUGAAAAACAAAGAGAAGAGGACAAAAACCCCUGAUUUGAAAGAUAAAUUUAUAAACCAAGCCCUUCAACAGUUAAAUAACUUUAAUCCACAAACCCAUGAGUCUGAAGGUUGAGGGCUAAUCCCUUUUAUUAAGGAGCACUAAUUACAUUGGUUUAGCUGUGAAUAAUAACUGCAGAAAAAUUGGGUGAAUAGGAGCUUUCAUUUAGUCAGAUAGAAUUACUUUUACUGCUCAUGGAAUGAGAAAGAAUACUAGGAGAAUAAUGGAUACAGUUUCAGAAAGGAAGCAACUAUAUUCCCUAAACUAUUAUUGAUUGCAACAUCAUUGUAAUCUUUGGUCUAAUUUAAUGAUUAACUAUGUAGAAGUCAUAAAUUUCUACUUCACACAAGCACACCGUAAGUGUAUUUGCAACUAUAAUUGAUUCCAAUAAAAAGUUUAGGUGA
Molecule: long non-coding RNA, 1459 nt
Organism: Pantherophis guttatus
Lineage: Eukaryota; Metazoa; Chordata; Lepidosauria; Squamata; Colubridae
Source: RefSeq, a predicted model, not a curated record